UGAAGAUCAGUUAAAAUAAAGUUAAAAAAAAAUUUGGGUUACCUCUCAAAAAAUGCUAAGUUUCAAGUCUUCAGUCGGACUGAACCCGUGAUAUAGAAUCAAUCAGAAUAAAUAAGCUCAUAGAGAACUAUGGCCUCCUCCUCAAUUUUAGUAGGCAACUCUAAGAAUGGUUUCAAUUAUUGUCCAUUUACUUUAAAAGUAGCACCAUUGCUUGGGUUUUUGAUCUCUACAGCCCCAUGAGAGAAAACUUCUUUUACUAUAUAGGACCCUAUCCAUCU
This 278-nucleotide long non-coding RNA is filed under the name Elaeis guineensis (African oil palm). RNAcentral's name for it is "long non-coding RNA (EGUI_LNC035045)". Lineage: Eukaryota; Viridiplantae; Streptophyta; Magnoliopsida; Arecales; Arecaceae. The record is from RNAcentral.